GACGAACGCUGGCGGCGUGCUUAACACAUGCAAGUCGAACGGAAAGGCCCUGCUUUUGUGGGGUGCUCAAGUGGCGAACGGGUGAGUAACACGUGAGUAACCUGCCCUUGACUUUGGGAUAACUUCAGGAAACUGGGGCUAAUACCGGAUAGGAGCUCCUGCUGCAUGGUGGGGGUUUGAAAGUUUCGGCGGUUGGGGAUGGACUCGCGGCUUAUCAGCUUGUUGGUGGGGUAGUGGCUUACCAAGGCUUUGACGGGUAGCCGGCCUGAGAGGGUGACCGGCCACAUUGGUACUGAGAUACGGCCCAGACUGCUACGGGAGGCAGCAGUGGGGAGUAUUGCACAAUGAGCGGAAGCCUGAUGCAGCAACGCCGCGUGCGUGAUGACGGCCUUCGGGUUGUAAACCGCUUUCGCCUGUGACGAAGCGUGAGUGACGGUAAUGGGUAAAGAAGCACCGGCUAACUACGUG
Molecule: ribosomal RNA, 468 nt
Filed under: uncultured bacterium
Lineage: Bacteria
Description: partial 16S ribosomal RNA
Rfam family: Bacterial small subunit ribosomal RNA
Source: RNAcentral